This 473-nucleotide long non-coding RNA is filed under the name Cricetulus griseus (Chinese hamster). RNAcentral describes it as "lncRNA (ENSCGRG00015040190.1)". The record is from RNAcentral. Lineage: Eukaryota; Metazoa; Chordata; Mammalia; Rodentia; Cricetidae.
CAAGCUUGGCAGGAUAUGAACUUUUAACAAAAAUGGGGCACAGUUGUACUGCCAUGGCUUCUCGGUUUGAUCGGGGAGCAGAAAGACUUGGUGUUACGGAAUAGAACAAUGCAGCUAUGGCCUGGCAGCAUAAAGACUAUAACAGUGACAAAUUCAAGAAGAGGAGGAAGAGGAAGAAAAAGAAGAGGAGGCAGAGAAAGAAAGGAGGAAGAAGAGGAAGAGGAAGAAAAGGUAGAAAGGAGAAGGGGACUCACUACAGCAGCCACCUUCUGAGUCAGCUCCUCCAGGGACGCAAGCUGAAACCCAGGUGUCUUCUAGCUGAGCGGUUGAACGCUGGCUGGGGUGGGGUGGGGGAGGCACACGACACGAACGGUCGGACGGACAGACACGCAGGUGUUCCUGCGACCAGCUCUGUGCUGUGUCCAGUGUGAGCAAAUGAAGGUCUAUAGGCAGAGAGGGGUAGGUGUCCAGUG